RNAcentral lists this ribosomal RNA (492 nucleotides) under uncultured bacterium. RNAcentral describes it as "partial 16S ribosomal RNA". It matches the Rfam family "Bacterial small subunit ribosomal RNA", at positions 29 to 507 of the family's 1533-position model. The record is from RNAcentral.
AGUGAACGCUGGCGGCAGGCCUAACACAUGCAAGUCGAACGGCAGCACAGUAAGAGCUCGCUCUUACGGGUGGCGAGUGGCGGACGGGUGAGGAAUACAUCGGCAUCUACUUUUUCGUGGGGGAUAACGUAGGGACACUUACGCUAAUACCGCAUACGACCUACGGGUGAAAGCAGGGGAUCUUCGGACCUUGCGCGAUUGAAUGAGCCGAUGUCGGAUUAGCUAGUUGGCGGGGUAAAGGCCCACCAAGGCGACGAUACGUAGCUGGUCUGAGAGGAUGAUCAGCCACACUGGAACUGAGACACGGUCCAGACUCCUACGGGAGGCAGCAGUGGGGAAUAUUGCACAAUGGGCGCAAGCCUGAUCCAGCCAUACCGCGUGAGUGAAGAAGGCCUUCGGGUUGUAAAGCCCUUUUGUUGGGAAAGAAAAGCAGCAGGUUAAUACCCCGCUGUUCUGACGGUACCCAAAGAAUAAGCACCGGCUAACUUCGUG